This is a long non-coding RNA of Lolium rigidum, 256 nucleotides long. RefSeq lists it as uncharacterized. The record is from RefSeq and is a predicted model, not a curated record. Lineage: Eukaryota; Viridiplantae; Streptophyta; Magnoliopsida; Poales; Poaceae. The transcript is spliced from 2 exons.
CAGGACUCGGCGGCAGCAACGCGAGCCACCGAGAGUUGUUCGUUUGCCACGAGCUGCAAGGGGGAACUGCCUGGUAGUUGUCUCCUCCUCGAACCCAUCGUACUAAGGUGAUGCAGUGGUCUGUUCUUCAAUUGCACCAGGGGGUCUUAGUUCAAUCGUGGUUCUGGUUUGUACUAACAAUGGACCCAACAAAUGGGCUGCUAUGGCAGGUUGAAUCAUGACCUGAAUUUCUAAGUUUGACUCUAUCUGAGAUAGG